UACAGAGGUCUCAAGCGUUGUUCGGAUUCAUUGGGCGUAAAGGGUGCGUAGGCGGCGCGGUAAGUCGGGUGUGAAAUCUCGGGGCUUAACUCCGAAACUGCAUUCGAUACUGCCGUGCUUGAGGACUGGAGAGGAGACUGGAAUUUACGGUGUAGCGGUGAAAUGCGUAGAUAUCGUAAGGAAGACCAGUGGCGAAGGCGGGUCUCUGGACAGUUCCUGACGCUGAGGCACGCAGGUCAGGGGAGCAAACGGG
RNAcentral lists this ribosomal RNA (253 nucleotides) under uncultured bacterium. RNAcentral describes it as "partial 16S ribosomal RNA". It matches the Rfam family "Bacterial small subunit ribosomal RNA", at positions 524 to 776 of the family's 1533-position model. The record is from RNAcentral.